AGGGACUUCAAGAGGUCAUCCAGUCCAUCCCCCAAGACUGAAGCAGGAUUAAGUAAGCUGAGACCAUCCCUGACAGGAGUUUCUUAAACCUACAAAGACAGGGAUUCAACAAUCUGUCAAGGAUCUUCUGCUCCUGAGAAGGAAACCAUUCCACCAGGAGGGCAGGAGCAGCCCCCCAGAGACAGCAGAGGCAGAUAGAGAAGGACACUGGAAGAGCUGCUCAUUGGCAUGGACAGGAGGAAAAGUUUGAGUUCCUCUGGGCAUCGGAGGAGUGGACUCUUCAGCAGGAAAUGACACUGAUGAACUGGUUCAUGGAGCAGGAGGCAGGCCUAAGGGCAAAGCUGACAGAAUGAGUCGCCAAAUGAAUUCAGGGACACUGAUCCUGUCCAUCGCCGCCACCUCCUCUGGCUGCCAACCAGGGUGCUGCUGAGUCAGAGGAUCUUCGUUUUGGCAUCCCUCCCUCCAAGUGACCAGGUGGAGGACAUGGAGCCUGCACAAUUCCUAGGAUCACACCCACCACUGGUACCCAAAACCUGUCCCAGGGGGACCCUCCUGAGCAUCCAGGAGGGGAAUGAUGAGCCUGCAAAAGUCCUGGAAACCCACCAAGUGCCUCCCAAAAAUCAGUGCUGGAGAUGUUCCCGGUUGUCCCCAAGAACAUUUCCCCUACAUCAUUCCCCCUUGUCAGAGGAGGGCAAGAAGAUGGAUACUGAGACAUUAACAAUUGACCAGUGUUCACAGAUUCAUUCCCUUGAUGUUUUAAAUAUUGUUGGUUUACAUUUCUUUUUUAGUGUUUUAAUUACAUGUUCCAUCAAGUACUUUUAAUAAAUGUUAUAGUUUCCUUGA
Molecule: long non-coding RNA, 843 nt
Organism: Dermochelys coriacea (leatherback sea turtle)
Lineage: Eukaryota; Metazoa; Chordata; Testudines; Dermochelyidae
Exons: 2
Source: RefSeq, a predicted model, not a curated record